This 440-nucleotide ribosomal RNA is filed under the name uncultured bacterium. RNAcentral's name for it is "partial 16S ribosomal RNA". It matches the Rfam family "Bacterial small subunit ribosomal RNA", at positions 338 to 795 of the family's 1533-position model. The record is from RNAcentral.
CCUACGGGUGGCAGCAGUGGGGAAUAUUGCACAAUGGGCGAAACCCUGAUGCAGCAACGCCGCGUGAGCGAUGAAGGUCUUCGGGUCGUAAAGCCCUUUCCUCAAGGAAGAUAAUGACGGUACCUGACGAAUAAGCCCCGGCUAACUACGUGCCAGCAGCCGCGGUAAUACGGCGGGUGCAAGCGUUAUCCGGAAUUACUGGGCGGAAAGGGUGCGUAGGCGGGUUCGUAAGUCAGAGGUGAAAAGCUAAGGCUUAACCCUAGGACGGCUUUUGAAACUGGGAAUCUUGAGUAUGGGAGAGGUAGGUGGAAUUCUUGGUGUAGCGGUGAAAUGCGUAGAUAUUAGGAGGAAUACGCGUUGCGAAGGCGGCUUGCUGGAAUGUAACUGACGCUGAGGCACGAAAGCGUGGGGAGCAAACAGGAUUAGAUACCCUAGUAGUC